UACGGAGGGGGCUAGCGUUGUUCGGAAUUACUGGGCGUAAAGCGCACGUAGGCGGCUUUGUAAGUUAGAGGCGAAAGCCCGGGGCUCAACUCCGGAACUGCCUUUAAGACUGCAUCGCUAGAAUUGUGGAGAGGUGAGUGGAAUUCCGAGUGUAGAGGUGAAAUUCGUAGAUAUUCGGAAGAACACCAGUGGCGAAGGCGACUCACUGGACACAUAUUGACGCUGAGGUGCGAAAGCGUGGGGAGCAAACAGG
This 253-nucleotide ribosomal RNA is filed under the name uncultured bacterium. RNAcentral's name for it is "partial 16S ribosomal RNA". It matches the Rfam family "Bacterial small subunit ribosomal RNA", at positions 524 to 776 of the family's 1533-position model. The record is from RNAcentral.